UGGGCACACCGCUGUCGAAGCGCGCGCUCUCCUUCAUCGCGGCCUCUCGCUUCACUCUCGUGAGGCUCUUCUCAUUCCACUUCUUCUGUCUCCCCAGUGCUCUCACGACAGCCCUCAGCGUGCCUUCUUUUUUUUUCCAUCUCAUCACUGUCUGAUCCGUCGCUUCGCUUUCUGCCAGCCAGCCUCCCUCAACCACGGCACCUCCUCCUCAGCUCUCGCUCCUCCCUCUUGGAAAUCCAAGAAGGGAAGUGGGGACGAAAGGCGAGCAAGCACGCCGGCAGCGCGCAUACCUCUCUCUCCUCCCUCUUCCUCCCUCCCUCGUGGCACGGAAGGCACCGGUGCAGAAGAAGGGCGAGCGCGAGAUCGCGAAACGCAGCGUGGUGGAAGUCGAAAAAAGAUAGAUCGAGUCAGUAUAACCAACAGCCGGCGCGUACAACGGAGCUCCCUUCUUAGUCCUCUUGGCCGGCUACCGAGCACAGCAGCAGCAGCAUGCCGCUCGAGCGAAAACGGCAGCGGCAGCAACUACUGCCGGCCCAUCCCGGUGCAGUGGAUUCACUUAGUGCUGACAAGCUUCUGGUCGUGCCGCCCGGUAACAGUGAUGUGGUAGCGGCAGUGCCCCGCGUCGCGGAGCUAUCGAUUAUUGAUGACGCUAUUCAUUACGCUCUUCAGCGGAUUCUUUUAUACGGCGUACCCAUAGCGGCGAACAUGGUGAUCCGUGACCUAGACUACGAGCUCGGUGGAAGUCUAAAGCCGAUGAACGAGAGCUGGCCGAAGGCGUACAAGUGGGCCGUGGUGCUCAUCAUUGUCUCCUCCAUCAUCUGUCUCGCAGUGGUGGGCCUGGUGCUUGCCUGUAUCGUUUUUGAGCGUCACCGUGAAGCCCAAGAUAAGUCGAAGAGGAAGAGCCACAGUGACUCCGACGAGGACGCGCACUCCCACAGAGAGCAUGAUGCACGAUCCCUACCGCAGGAUGACAGCCAUGCGGCGGAGGAGAGCGAUGACUCCUCGUACGAUAGCUGCGAUGACGAGGAAGAAGAAGGCGAGUGGAGUAACAGCAGUGACGAGGUCUGACGCGGACCAUGGACAUCUGAAAAGUGUCCACGUGCCUGCGAGUAUGUGCGGAGGAGAUUGCAGUGAAGCAUCUAUACACACACACACACACCGACACCGAUAGGCACACCUGCAUAACUCUCCUGCUCUCUUCCCACAUGUCUGCGUUUCUCGUUCGGUACUUCCCCCGCUUGGGACUGCGCUCUGCUCCCCCACCCCCCCCCCCACCUCCACCCCUCCUUUCUCUCAUAUUGUGCUGGCGUUGUUGUUGCCGCUGCCUUCGUCGCGCGACACUGCCGGUAUUGGUCGCCUCGAGGAUCUUUAUGUGUGUUUGUGUGUGUGUCUCGCCUUCUCCAUUAUCCGAUUGUGCUAGCUGGCAAACGCGUGACAUUGAACUAGACCCAUUCGCCUAUCCACCGGCAGACCCCUAUGACCCACAAUGUCCCCUUCCUUUUCCUGCUGCUGCUGCUGCUCCCACCCACUCCCAUGGGCUACCCACGGCGCAGACGCAGGCACGCCUUUUCAUUUUCGAUAUACCUCUUUUCCUGCCCUCGUUCUCUCGUCUUGUGUGAUGUGCUCAUUUUUCUAUCUGUAUGUGUCUAGGCGUAUCAAUCAUAGUCGAUCGUAGAGCUCCACCUCAGCACGGACCCCCUCACUGCCGCCGCCCCCCCCCCCAGUCUCUCUCACCCGCUCUCUGCCGCAGAGCAUCUUUCCUCGCUGUCUUGUCCUUUACGUGGAUGUUGUUGUGCCCUCGAGCAGAGAUGUGUCGCUGCAAGCAUGUGUGUUUGUGCGGAAGGGACGGCUGUCACGGAUGCUCGCGACGCAACCUCACCUUCGCUCCUUUCGCUUUCUUUUACCGUUCUCUUUUUGAUGAUUCCCCUGCUGUAUUCUUCGGGCGCAUGUUUUGUACGCGCACGUGUUGCUUGGUUUCGUGGAUGGGCGUUGUCGCCCUCUCAUUGUGUCUCCCUAUCGCCCCCCGCAGAGCACGCCCAGCAGCUGCGUUGAAAUGGAGAAACGCUGCUGCAGACAUCAACGCCAGGGAAUGAGGGACAAAAAUUAUGAUGCACCGUGAUAGUGGUGGUUGCGGCUGUUACUAGUAAUGCGCAGGCGCUGGCAACAGCAGCACCUGCACUCCUGCUCUUCUUCCACCACUAUUGUCUCCCUUCCUUGCUCCUCUCCCUCUCUCAGUGCUUCCAGCAUUAGCCGCCACUGGUGAAGUGUGCUGCAGGAGCCGGUAGUCUGACAGAGAUGCGUACACACGCAUGUGUUGUGUGUGCGCGUGCACCGUACCACAUGUACCUGCUAGCGAUGACGAUGUGCAUUUCUGAAGGUGUCGUGCGCGCAGGCAGUGUGUGCCUUGAAGCUCCUUGUACGUUUUUUUAACACCUCCGCUCUCUCCUCAAGGCACCUCACCCUCCCCCCUCUCUCUUCCCUCAUCGUUCUCGUCGCUCUUACACGCACAGUCCCCACAUCACCCGCGUCCCUUACACGAGCGUGCCGCGCAACGAAGAAUGCAUGGCCUGUCGGCGUUUUUUUUUCUUCUCACCGUCUUGCCAGGUAUGCGUGUGCCAAAACCCUGCGCACGUGCGCAACGGAACUCAUAAGGCGAGGGCCAUGACCGUUGCUCAAGCCCAGUCAUGCUUGGCGUGUGUUUUUCCGUGAACUGUGCACCGACGCGUUUAAGAUGCUUCUUAUUAUCGGCGGCGCACCUUUCGCGCACCUGCGCCAGCACUUCAGCGCGCACCCACACCCACGCAGCUUAGCCCUCGUACCGAGCCAAGCAAAGACACGAAGCCCACGCUCACGCACGCGUGAGCAUGCAGUGCACGGUGCAGAGCAGCGUCACAGGACGAGAGGGAUAUAGGGAUGACACACCACUGCGUAUUUUUCCCGCCCCUCGCCUCCUUAACCAUGCCACGGACGACAGUUGCUACUGUUCCGCUCACUGCCGCGUGCUUCCAUUAUCCUCUACUCUCCGCAGUGUCUCUGCUCCGCUGCUGACUCGUCGGCCCACUUUCUGCAUGCUCGACGAAGUUGUGCGUGUGUGUGCGUGUUUUUUCUUCCGCUCCUGCCUCCUUCUCGCCGGUGUGCCCUGGAAAC
RNAcentral lists this unclassified non-coding RNA (3147 nucleotides) under Leishmania donovani. RNAcentral describes it as "gene:LdHU3.13.1420(CDS-product:hypothetical_prote in_conserved)". The record is from RNAcentral. Lineage: Eukaryota; Euglenozoa; Kinetoplastea; Trypanosomatida; Trypanosomatidae.